RNAcentral lists this long non-coding RNA (256 nucleotides) under Phasianus colchicus (ring-necked pheasant). RNAcentral describes it as "lncRNA (ENSPCLG00000004437.1)". Lineage: Eukaryota; Metazoa; Chordata; Aves; Galliformes; Phasianidae. The record is from RNAcentral.
UGCAGCAAAUCAAGAAAUUUGUAUACAGUUUGCAAAACAACUGUUUUGCGUUUGUCAGAACGUUACCAUCUGACUGGAAACUCUUCCUUUUUUCUUGUUUAUUCUUCAGUUAUGUGCCCUCAUGGUGGCUCCUUUUAGGCUGGUGUCCUCACUAAGAAAUCAGACUUCCCUUGGCUGUACAGCUCCUGGGACUUGCAUGAACACUUGGCUGUUUUGACUUUCUGGGCUGGAGAAGCUGGAGGCUUGGUUUCCAGAA